Molecule: ribosomal RNA, 502 nt
Filed under: uncultured bacterium
Lineage: Bacteria
Description: bacterial SSU rRNA
Rfam family: Bacterial small subunit ribosomal RNA
Source: RNAcentral
GGAUGAACGCUAGCUACAGGCUUAACACAUGCAAGUCAGGGGCAGCAUUAUCGAAGCUUGCUUUGAUAGAUGGCGACCGGCGCACGGGUGAGUAACGCGUAUCCAACCUUCCCCAUAGUAGGGCAUAGCCCGUAGAAAUGCGGAUUAAUACCCUAUGUAUUCCGAGGAUGACAUCUGAUUCGGAACAAAGGUUCACCGCUAUGGGAUGGGGAUGCGUCUGAUUAGGUAGUAGGCGGGGUAACGGCCCACCUAGCCGACGAUCAGUAGGGGUUCUGAGAGGAAGGUCCCCCACAUUGGAACUGAGACACGGUCCAAACUCCUACGGGAGGCAGCAGUGAGGAAUAUUGGUCAAUGGGCGAGAGCCUGAACCAGCCAAGUAGCGUGCAGGAAGACGGCCCUAUGGGUUGUAAACUGCUUUUAUACAGGGAUAAAGUCGGGGACGUGUUCCCCGUUUGCAGGUACUGUAUGAAUAAGGACCGGCUAAUUCCGUGCCAGCAGCUGC